Molecule: ribosomal RNA, 425 nt
Filed under: uncultured bacterium
Lineage: Bacteria
Description: partial 16S ribosomal RNA
Rfam family: Bacterial small subunit ribosomal RNA
Source: RNAcentral
GUAGGGAAUCUUGCGCAAUGGGCGAAAGCCUGACGCAGCCAUGCCGCGUGAAUGAUGAAGGUCUUAGGAUUGUAAAAUUCUUUCACCGGGGACGAUAAUGACGGUACCCGGAGAAGAAGCCCCGGCUAACUUCGUGCCAGCAGCCGCGGUAAUACGAAGGGGGCUAGCGUUGCUCGGAAUUACUGGGCGUAAAGGGAGCGUAGGCGGAUAGUUUAGUCAGAGGUGAAAGCCCAGGGCUCAGCCUUGGAAUUGCCUUUGAUACUGGCUAUCUUGAGUAUGGAAGAGGUAUGUGGAACUCCGAGUGUAGAGGUGAAAUUCGUAGAUAUUCGGAAGAACACCAGUGGCGAAGGCGACAUACUGGUCCAUUACUGACGCUGAGGCUCGAAAGCGUGGGGAGCAAACAGGAUUAGAAACCCUGGUAGUCC